Molecule: long non-coding RNA, 476 nt
Organism: Callorhinchus milii (elephant shark)
Lineage: Eukaryota; Metazoa; Chordata; Chondrichthyes; Chimaeriformes; Callorhinchidae
Exons: 3
Source: RefSeq, a predicted model, not a curated record
GUGAGACGGCGAGUGUGAUGGUUUCAAUUUGCCGGAGAGACAUACCCCUCGGCUGGGGAGGGAACUCAGUUCUGCCCUGAAUGGCGGUCUUGACGGUGCUGUAAGGAGCUGCGUCAAAUGCAAAUAGUCAACGUCUUGAGGAACAGAAUGAAAAGAUUGGAAGAAAAAUGGACAGAAAAAUAAAAGUGUCCAUCAAACGUUGGGGUUUGUGCACAGCGGGGAGAGGCACAGCUGUUUUGGACGAGCGCUGUUAUCUGCCAUGACCCUGGGAGGUAGCGCGAGACAGGUUUGGCUCCCUGUAAACAAACAAUGGCUGCCCAACUGAGGACCUGGCCAAUGCAAGCAUUGUCGGACAGCAAAUGGAUUAACAGGCAUUCGACCCGGUGACAAGGAGUUGGUACCGAUUGAUUGAGAGUCAAGCUAAAUACUUUGGUGACUCCAGCACUAACCAGCCAUUCAGCCACUGAGCUCCAGCU